CCUACGGGAGGCAGCAGUGGGGAAUAUUGCACAAUGGGCGCAAGCCUGAUGCAGCCAUGCCGCGUGUGUGAAGAAGGCCUUCGGGUUGUAAAGCACUUUCAGCGGGGAGGAAGGCGGUGAGGUUAAUAACCUCAUCGAUUGACGUUACCCGCAGAAGAAGCACCGGCUAACUCCGUGCCAGCAGCCGCGGUAAUACGGAGGGUGCAAGCGUUAGUCGGAAUUACUGGGCGUAAAGCGCACGCAGGCGGUCUGUCAAGUCGGAUGUGAAAUCCCCGGGCUCAACCUGGGAACUGCAUUCGAAACUGGCAGGCUAGAGUCUUGUAGAGGGGGGUAGAAUUCCAGGUGUAGCGGUGAAAUGCGUAGAGAUCUGGAGGAAUACCGGUGGCGAAGGCGGCCCCCUGGACAAAGACUGACGCUCAGGUGCGAAAGCGUGGGGAGCAAACAGGAUUAGAUACCCCAGUAGUC
This 465-nucleotide ribosomal RNA is filed under the name uncultured Klebsiella sp. RNAcentral describes it as "bacterial SSU rRNA". It matches the Rfam family "Bacterial small subunit ribosomal RNA", at positions 338 to 795 of the family's 1533-position model. The record is from RNAcentral. Lineage: Bacteria; Pseudomonadati; Pseudomonadota; Gammaproteobacteria; Enterobacterales; Enterobacteriaceae.